GUCGGGAUAGCUCAGUUGGUAGAGCAGAGGACUGAAAAUCCUCGUGUC
This 48-nucleotide transfer RNA is filed under the name Lycopodium clavatum (stag's-horn clubmoss). RNAcentral's name for it is "partial tRNA-Phe". It matches the Rfam family "tRNA", at positions 1 to 46 of the family's 71-position model. From Rfam's summary of the family: Transfer RNA (tRNA) molecules are approximately 80 nucleotides in length. Their secondary structure includes four short double-helical elements and three loops (D, anti-codon, and T loops). RNAcentral also lists the same sequence under 30 other names. Lineage: Eukaryota; Viridiplantae; Streptophyta; Lycopodiopsida; Lycopodiales; Lycopodiaceae. The record is from RNAcentral.